GGGGAUUUAGCUCAGUGGUAGAGCGCCUGCCUAGGGAGCGCAAGGCCCUGGGUUCGGUCCCCAGCUCCG
RNAcentral lists this transfer RNA (69 nucleotides) under Rattus norvegicus (Norway rat). It matches the Rfam family "tRNA". Rfam says of the family: Transfer RNA (tRNA) molecules are approximately 80 nucleotides in length. Their secondary structure includes four short double-helical elements and three loops (D, anti-codon, and T loops). Further hydrogen bonds mediate the characteristic L-shaped molecular structure. tRNAs have two regions of fundamental functional importance: the anti-codon, which is responsible for specific mRNA codon recognition, and the 3' end, to which the tRNAs corresponding amino acid is attached (by aminoacyl-tRNA synthetases). tRNAs cope with the degeneracy of the genetic code in two manners: having more than one tRNA (with a specific anti-codon) for a particular amino acid; and 'wobble' base-pairing, i.e. permitting non-standard base-pairing at the 3rd anti-codon position. The record is from Rfam by way of RNAcentral. Lineage: Eukaryota; Metazoa; Chordata; Mammalia; Rodentia; Muridae.